Carcharodon carcharias (great white shark) is the source of this 154-nucleotide long non-coding RNA. RefSeq lists it as uncharacterized. The record is from RefSeq and is a predicted model, not a curated record. NCBI's taxonomy places the organism in Eukaryota, Metazoa, Chordata, Chondrichthyes, Lamniformes, Lamnidae. The transcript is spliced from 3 exons.
UUCCACCACCCGGCGGCCGCUCUGAGCAGUCUGAUAGAAACAUUACGCCUUUUGUCCUAAUUUUACUACUUCUCUUCUGAAGACAAUGACUCAUGCUGGGGUAUGGUUACACCUGCCUAUUCAAACCAGCAUUAAAAUAUUCUUUCAAAGUGCC